ACAUCCAGCGAACUUGGCAGAGAUGCCUUGGUGCCUUCGGGAACGCUGAGACAGGUGCUGCAUGGCUGUCGUCAGCUCGUGUUGUGAAAUGUUGGGUUAAGUCCCGCAACGAGCGCAACCCUUAUCCUUUGUUGCCAGCGAUUCGGUCGGGAACUCAAAGGAGACUGCCGGUGAUAAACCGGAGGAAGGUGGGGAUGACGUCAAGUCAUCAUGGCCCUUACGAGUAGGGCUACACACGUGCUACAAUGGCGCAUACAAAGAGAAGCGACCUCGCGAGAGCAAGCGGACCUCAUAAAGUGCGUCGUAGUCCGGAUCGGAGUCUGCAACUCGACUCCGUGAAGUCGGAAUCGCUAGUAAUCGUGGAUCAGAAUGCCACGGUGAUACGUUCCCGGGCCUUGUACACACCGCCCGUCACACCAUGGGAGUGGGUUGCAAAAGAAGUAGGUAGCUUAACCUUCGGGAGGGCGCUUACCACUUUGUGAUUCAUGACUGGGGUGAAGUCGUAACAAGGUAGGCGUAGCGAG
Molecule: ribosomal RNA, 524 nt
Filed under: uncultured bacterium
Lineage: Bacteria
Description: bacterial SSU rRNA
Rfam family: Bacterial small subunit ribosomal RNA
Source: RNAcentral